GUGGGAGUGGCCAGGGCGGGCCACAUUUGGGCUAAAGGCCAGGUGAGGGGGCUGGGCGUCCCAGAGGAAUUGGUCUGGGGCAGGUUGGGACUGAGUCGCUGGCAGAGAGAGGGGACCACAGGAGUGUGGGUCCUUCACUCCUAGGAAAGCGCAGGAGGUGAGAGUGGACUUCCUUCUAGGGGUUCAAACACCAAGGGUGGCCUGUGGAGAGAACACAGGAUGGCAGAGCCUUGGAAAGCUAAAAAGAGAAGGAAGGAGCAGCUUCACACUGCGGGACCUCACAGGACACUGCCUUGGCCACGUGGUCAGUGUUAACCUCCCCAGGACCAGGCACAUCUGACCAGCUGCCUCCCGCUGUGACCCCAUGGAAGGACUCAGUGUCAUCUGCAGGAUCUUGUCAGGAACGUACAGCCUGAAUCUGAUCAUGGGAAGUACCAGGGAGACCUCAACAGAGGAAUAUGCUGAAAAUGCUGCGGCUUGUCUUCUUCAAAAUCUUCAAAGUCAUACUGGGUGUGCUGGUGCAGCCUGUCAUCCCUGCAUUCUAGGAGGCUGAGGCAGGAGGAACAGAAGAGGAAGACCAGCCUGGGUGAAACCUUUCUCUUACUACUCCAUUCUCAAGGAGCCAGGACGUCUCCAGCUGAUGUAAUCUUGGCCUGGACUGUCACAGCAUCACCGGAGGUCUCAGCUGUGACCAGAGGCAAAAAUGGAGUUAUGCCUGGACAUGCCAUAGCCCCCCUGCAGGCAGGAAAACAAGGCCUAAACAUAAUUUAAUCUUGCAAUGCUUUUCCCCCAAAGUUAUGUAGACUUGCUCUUGACAUCAACCCAUGUAUAAUUUACUGUGGCAUGCGAGGCUAGAAUCUAACCUUUCUUGAGGCAGUUACCCUGGCCUGACAUUGUUUAUGAAUAACUCAUCCAUUUCACACUUAUUCAGAAUGAAAAUCCUUAUCAUAUAUUACAUUUUCAUUUUUCUCUUUUUUCUCCUGUAUCUCUUAAGAAAGAGGAUCAAGGGAUGGGUGGAGGGCAUAGAGAGGGAAGGGAAAGCAGAUGAAAAAGAAAUUAUGAUCUCUUAUGUACAUGUACCAACCUCCCACAAGGAAUGUAAGCAUUAUGUUCUACACAUAUGUACUAAUACACUAAAAUUUAAAAAUUAUCAUUCAAGAUUAAUAAAAAAUUUUAGUCAUUUGGG
RNAcentral lists this long non-coding RNA (1186 nucleotides) under Heterocephalus glaber (naked mole-rat). RNAcentral's name for it is "lncRNA (ENSHGLG00000046067.1)". Lineage: Eukaryota; Metazoa; Chordata; Mammalia; Rodentia; Bathyergidae. The record is from RNAcentral.